UUUCCGUAGGUGAACCUGCGGAAGGAUCAUUACAGUGUUCCCUGCCCUUCGGGGUAGGAUCGCCACCCUUGAUUAUUUAUGAGUGUUGCUUUGGCGGGCCUCGCGGCCUGGCCGCGCCCCGGCUUCGGCGGGGGAGCGCCCGCCAGAGGAUUCUACAAACCUGAUUAUUAGCGUCGUCUGAGUACUAUAUAAUAGUUAAAACUUUCAACAACGGAUCUCUUGGUUCUG
Molecule: unclassified non-coding RNA, 228 nt
Filed under: plant metagenome
Description: partial contains small subunit ribosomal RNA, internal transcribed spacer 1, and 5.8S ribosomal RNA
Source: RNAcentral